CAAUAGCGUAUAUUAAAGUUGUUGCGGUUAAAAAGCUCGUAGUUGGAUUUCUGCUGAGAACGACCGGUCCGCCCUUUGGGUGUGUAUCUGGCUCUUUCUUGGCAUCUUCUUGGUGAACGUUGCUGCACUUGACUGUGUGGAGCGCUACCCAGGACUUUUACUUUGAGGAAAUUAGAGUGUUUCAAGCAGGCAUACGCCUUGAAUACAUUAGCAUGGAAUAAUAAGAUAGGACCUCGGUUCUAUUUUGUUGGUUUCUAGAGCUAAGAUAAUGAUUAAUAGGGACAGUUGGGGGCAUUCGUAUUAACGCGUCAGAGGUGGAAUUCUUGGAUUGCGUUACGACGAACUACUGCGAAANCANNNGCCAAGGAUGUUUUCAUNGA
This 380-nucleotide ribosomal RNA is filed under the name uncultured eukaryote. RNAcentral describes it as "partial 18S ribosomal RNA". It matches the Rfam family "Eukaryotic small subunit ribosomal RNA", at positions 592 to 976 of the family's 1831-position model. The record is from RNAcentral.